UUGGAAUAAGGACGAUAAAUUAAAGUAAUAACUUGAUACUGUUCCAGAAACAGGUAAAGACCAAGAAACAAAGAAAGUCCUAUAUCAAUGAACAAUAAUUCAGAUUAAAAUACAAAGAAGAAAAAACGCAGCAAAAGAAGAAGUAAAAACCUUAGAAAUGUGAUUUGAUGGAAUUCGGCUCAUACGGGAUCCGCUACUUGGAGAGUUUACAUGUUUGUGUGAGACUCUCCUUUCACUUGUGAGAUCCCGGGGUGGCUACCUUGUUCGUCGAGGCAGAGGAGUCUCCGACGAUGGCACAGGGACAGUGGCGAGUCGGGGAGGCAAGGUUGAACGACUGUGAAUUAAAGCAAUCACAUAGACUUAAUUAACAAAAUCUAAACCAAAAAUCUGAAAAAAUAUAAAUAAAAAGGUGAAUCGCAGACAAACAGCCAUAGAAGAAGAAGAAGAAGAAGCUUACCGCCACGGCGAAUUGUAAAAACACGAUUGUGGCGUUAAUAAUUCAAGGUAAUGAAUUUAUAGAUAAAAAUCUAGGGUUUAAGUUUCCUUUGUUAAAAUUCUUUCCAAAAUUUUUUCUUUCUAAGCAAAAGAUCAGAACUUUACAAAACGAUGGGUUUCUUCCUAAUAUAAUUCUUACCAUGUAUUGCAUGAAAGAGAGGGAGGGCCGACGAUUUCGCCGACCCCAGGAAAAUGGUGGAGGCGGGCGAUUGAGUGGAUGCAACAGAAUUGUUAGUGAACUAAUAAAUUUAUUACUAAAAAAUCUAGGUUUAAAUUUUUAUUGUUAAACAUUUACCUUGUAUAUACUCUUAAUCUUUUCCAAAAAAAUUCUUUCUAAAGUAGAGAAAUCAUUCUAUAUUUACUAUUGUAAUCUUUCCUAAUAGAAAACUUACCAUGGAGGAGAAAAACUUACCAUGGGUAGAUCGAUGUAGGGCCGACGCCGCGAAUCGCGGUGGGGGAGGGAGAAAGGGAGGUGGCAGAUCGCGGCGGAGGUCAGCGGGGCGAAUCGUGGUGGGGGAAGUGCAGUUUUGAGCUUUC
This 1032-nucleotide long non-coding RNA is filed under the name Salvia miltiorrhiza (redroot sage). RNAcentral describes it as "long non-coding RNA (SMIL_LNC005085)". The record is from RNAcentral. Lineage: Eukaryota; Viridiplantae; Streptophyta; Magnoliopsida; Lamiales; Lamiaceae.